Long non-coding RNA from Micropterus dolomieu (smallmouth bass), 460 nucleotides. RefSeq lists it as uncharacterized. The record is from RefSeq and is a predicted model, not a curated record. NCBI's taxonomy places the organism in Eukaryota, Metazoa, Chordata, Actinopteri, Centrarchiformes, Centrarchidae. The transcript is spliced from 2 exons.
CUAGUUGACCAAAGUGCUUUCCAAGUUCAGAAUAUACAACAUAUAUACACGACUACAACAGUAGAAAAGGUAAAAAAUGUCACUACUCAAGGCCAAUGAAUAGAGAUGGGUUUUUAGGAAGGAUUUGAAAGUGUCAGCAGUCCAGGCAAUUCUUAUUUCAAAAGGGGUACCCAGGGCGUUGCCAAGCGACACCAAAGGGCCUUGACCAAAGCGUCAAUAUGUGACGAGUCGGGAGUGAGAAUGUGUUGUCCCUGGUAAUACUGUGCCAGGCCUAUACUUCUGCUAGCUUCACUGCCAGCUUCACUAUGUUAAUGAGUUUGCCAGUUAAGAACUUUCCGCUGUAUGAUCACAGAAAUGAAUGAGGUUACGUGAUGAUGGUGAUAUGUUGUCUAUAUACACUACUGUCUAUGUGCAUUCUGUCUGUUUUUAUUAUGUCUUUUUAAAUAAAUAACUAAAACCA